Molecule: unclassified non-coding RNA, 200 nt
Filed under: Ascomycota sp.
Lineage: Eukaryota; Fungi; Ascomycota
Description: partial internal transcribed spacer 2
Source: RNAcentral
UUAAGUUCAGCGGGUAUCCCUACCUGAUCCGAGGUCAACCCAGAAAAAAAAUUGGGGUUGAGAGGCAGACAUUUAUCUGACAGAAGCGAUGAAGUUUCCUAGACGCUUGAAGCCAGGCAGUGUCGCCGUUGCAUUUGAGGCAUGUCCUCCGGAGAGGACAACACCCAAGACCAGGCCUACAAGUAGGCUUGAGUUUAGCA